Molecule: ribosomal RNA, 429 nt
Filed under: Bacteroidota bacterium
Lineage: Bacteria; Pseudomonadati; Bacteroidota
Description: Bacteroidetes bacterium partial 16S ribosomal RNA
Rfam family: Bacterial small subunit ribosomal RNA
Source: RNAcentral
UAGGGAAUCUUCCGCAAUGGACGCAAGUCUGACGGAGCAACGCCGCGUGAGUGAAGAAGGAUUUCGGUUCGUAAAACUCUGUUGUUAGAGAAGAACAGCGCAUAGAGUAACUGUUAUGCGUGUGACGGUAUCUAACCAGAAAGCCACGGCUAACUACGUGCCAGCAGCCGCGGUAAUACGUAGGUGGCAAGCGUUGUCCGGAUUUAUUGGGAGUAAAGCGAGCGCAGGCGGUCAAUUAAGUCUGAUGUGAAAGCCCCCGGCUCAACCGGGGAGGGUCAGUGGAAACUGGUUGACUUGAGUGCAGAAGAGGAGAGUGGAAUUCCAUGUGUAGCGGUGAAAUGCGUAGAUAUAUGGAGGAACACCAGUGGCGAAGGCGACUCUCUGGUCUGUAACUGACGCUGAGGCUCGAAAGCGUGGGUAGCAAACAGG